Triticum dicoccoides is the source of this 280-nucleotide long non-coding RNA. RefSeq lists it as uncharacterized. The record is from RefSeq and is a predicted model, not a curated record. Lineage: Eukaryota; Viridiplantae; Streptophyta; Magnoliopsida; Poales; Poaceae. The transcript is spliced from 2 exons.
UUUGGCGCGACUGCCAAGGAAUUGAGAGAAUUGAAUUUUACCAAAAUAGUUUCAUUAGCUCCUGAAGUAUUAUAAAUACUAGUAGGCGAAAUUGAGACCAAAGAAUUAAUUUAGUAGAUUGUGUUUUACGUAUAUGUUUUAAAAUCCAAAAUGAAAAAAAAGAAAACAUGUUGAUUAUAGAAAAAUUAGGAGGAACCUAGAAUUAGAGUCUUAUGGGCAAGGACACUAUUGCUGAUUUACUAACCUCUAUAAGAAAUGCGGACAUGAAUAAAAAAGGAAC